UUAGCGGCUAGGCUUAACAAGGCUGGAAUUUUAGCUGCCCAUGGCGGGCGCGUUCUCUUAAUGACGUAUUGCCAACAUGGCGGCUUCCAUGGAAGACAUCGCCGAGACGCUGGGAGAUUUGAAAAUAUCUUGCUUCUCUGGAAAACAAAAGACCUGAGAGUGUUGAAAGCAGAUAUCUUACAUAAAAUAAUAACAAAAUAUAAAUAUAAAGAUGGCUUGCUGCUCUUUGAGUAACCCUAAUGAGAGCUGAGAAAACUGUACAGAUGUUUCCAAAAGUUCGGGGAGUUAAAGAUAUCUUCAGCAUCGAUUCUCUCCUGUAAUUAAGGUAAGGGUUAGAGCCAUUGCCGGUGUACUACCCAGAUACUACUCCCGACCACUCCACCAUAUUUUGUGACUUUUCAGGGAGAAUAGCUCCAAUAAAGUAAGACGGAGGAGGAGGAGGGAGUAAAAUGAGUACAACCUCAUUUGCCAUUUUGCCUUCUUCUUCUGAAUACAGGUUGCAGGUCGGCCUCAAAAAGGGCAACUUCUGAAGGAUAGUUGACGUCUGUGGCCAGCAAGCAAAACAGUGAAGUUUAGCAAUGUAGAGAUCGAAGCUGAAGUGCGUAAUUAUGCAAGAUGGAAGCACACGAAGAGAAAACUUUUGGUUUGUGUUAAAAAGUUUCAGUUUACAAUUAUUACGUCAUCAGAACUGCGCAGGCCAUAGAAUGAUCUAGAAAUGACGCAAUGGAGACAAGUUAUUACGAUUUUUAGAACCGAGAUGGAGAAUUAAGGAGUUUACCCGAAAACUCAUCGUGGCUUCUGCGUUUGAAGAUGAAAGCCAUGCAAUAAGGCAAUGUUCCCUUGGUACUCAGUUAUCCUCUACCUUUAGAUUUGACUUGCUCUACAUAGAUUAGUCUUCAGGUCAGUUUUCGACUGACGUCUGACCAGCCGUGAAUUCCGUUGUGAGGCGAACCAGCUUCUGCUUUAAUCAGAUUCGAGGCACACAGAAACGGGGAGGUCCCUAAAGGGAAGACCCCGGUUGGGGCAGCUCCAAAGGGUCGAGAGGGAGGAUCCAAAUUCAUGUUCGUUGCCUUGUGGCAGUUUAGUUGAAUUUUUGAUGUCUUCAGUGAAAUACUGGGUGCGGCCAUAAAGAUACUAAUAUUUAACUUCUGUCAAAAGUUGGCGUCUUCAUCAGCGUUCUAUGUAAAUGAGAACUUCUUUUUAAGGGAAAAUAUUUCUCAGGUUGUGUCUAAAGCUACUGCUUGUUGAAUAGAUAGCUGAAUCGGCUGAACAGCGUUGUAAAUAAAUACAAAUUUAAAUUUAUGUGUUUAGAUAAUAAUCAUAA
Molecule: long non-coding RNA, 1324 nt
Organism: Stegodyphus dumicola
Lineage: Eukaryota; Metazoa; Arthropoda; Arachnida; Araneae; Eresidae
Source: RefSeq, a predicted model, not a curated record